CAGUAGCCACGGGAAUACGAAGGGGGCUAGCGUUGUUCGGAAUUACUGGGCGUAAAGGGCGCGUAGGCGGCCAUUCAAGUUAGAUGUGAAAGCCCUGGGCCCAACCUAGGAAUUGCAUCUUAUACUGCGUAGCUGGAGUGCAGUAGAGGGUAGUGGAAUUUCCGGUGUAGCGGUGAAAUGCGUAGAUACCGGAAGGAACACCAGUGGCGAAGGCGGCUACCUGGACUGACACUGACACUGAGGCGCGAAAGCGUGGGGAGCAAACAGGAUUAGAUACCCCCGUAGUCCCUGUCUCUUAUAC
Molecule: ribosomal RNA, 301 nt
Filed under: uncultured bacterium
Lineage: Bacteria
Description: partial 16S ribosomal RNA
Rfam family: Bacterial small subunit ribosomal RNA
Source: RNAcentral